CUAGGCGCACAGCUCAGUAACACGUGGCCAACCUGCCCUUGGGACGGAAACACCCCCGGGAAACUGGGGCUAAUUUCCGAUAGGUGAAGACUCCUGGAAUGGAUUUUCGCUUAAAGGGCGCUUAGGGCAUGCUCCUAGGCGUUGCCCAAGGAUGGGGCCGCGGCCGAUCAGGUUGUUGGUGAGGUAACGGCCCACCAAGCCUUUAACCGGUACGGGCCGUGGGAGCGGUAGCCCGGAGAUGGGCACUGAGACAAGGGCCCAGGCCCUACGGGGCGCAGCAGUCGCGAAGACUUCGCAAUAAGCGAAAGCUUGACGGGGCCAUCCCGAGUGCCAUCUGCUGAGGAUGGCUUUUACCCAGUAUAGAUAGCUGGGAGAAUAAGGAGAGGGCAAGUCUGGUGUCAGCCGCCGCGGUAAUACCAGCUCUCCGAGUUGUAGGGAUGUUUAUUGGGCCUGAAGCAUCCGUAGCCGGCUGGACAAGUCCCCUGUUAAAUCCAGCGACCAAUCGUUGGUCUGCGGGGGAUACUGUCCGGCUAGGGGGCGGGAGAGGCCGUCGGUAUUCUUGGGGUAGGGGUGGAAUCCUAUAAUCCCAGGAGGACCACCAGUGGCGAAGGCUGUCGGCUAGAACGCGCCCGACGGUGAGGGAUGAAAGCUGGGGGAGCGAACCGGAUUAGAUACCCGGGUAGUCCCAGCUGUAAACGAUGCAGGCUAGGUGUUAGGGCGGCUACGUGCCGCUCUAGUGCCGCAGGGAAGCUGUUAAGCCUGCCGCCUGGGGAGUACGGCCGCAAGGCUGAACUUAAAGGCCA
This 803-nucleotide ribosomal RNA is filed under the name uncultured soil archaeon. RNAcentral's name for it is "bacterial SSU rRNA". It matches the Rfam family "Archaeal small subunit ribosomal RNA", at positions 77 to 865 of the family's 1478-position model. The record is from RNAcentral.